Gorilla gorilla gorilla (western lowland gorilla) is the source of this 1591-nucleotide long non-coding RNA. RefSeq lists it as uncharacterized. The record is from RefSeq and is a predicted model, not a curated record. NCBI's taxonomy places the organism in Eukaryota, Metazoa, Chordata, Mammalia, Primates, Hominidae. The transcript is spliced from 7 exons.
GCAAUUGUCCUUGCCCUCUUGCUGUAGGGACCAAUCGGAAAGCGGAAUCUGAGCCAGUCUGGGAAAGGACGAUUCUCAGUGGGCGUGGGUUGUGUUGCGUUAUCAUGGUUUAGCCAAUCAUAUAACUUCUCCAGUCGCGGUUUCCUGCGUUUGUAGAUGGAAGGAAGAACUUGUGUGCUUAGACCUGACGCUGGGAGGAGAUGCUGCCACCUAGGUUACUUGUAGGACCCUCUACGGCAACCUCCUUUGCCAGGAACUAUUUAGGAACAUCCUGCAGGAAAAUGUCAGCAAUGUGAUGGUGUUUGGAGGUGGAGCCUUCAGAAGUAAUUAAUGCCCUUGUAAGAAGAGGCCAGAGAGCUUGAGCACCUUCUUCCUGCCAUGUGAGGAGCCAAGAAGCCGGCUGUCUGCAACCUGCAAGAGGACCCUCACUAGAAGCUAACCAUACUGGCACCCUCAUCUUGGCUUUCCAACUUCCAGAACUCAAGACCAGACUUUGCCCUUCCUCCUCUCAGCCUACUCAACGUGAAUAUAAUGAGGAUGAAGACCUUUGUAAUGACCUUUUCCCACAUAAUGAAUAUAUCACCUUCCAGGGAUAAACUUUCUGCUUGUUCCUGUGAUACCAGAUACAGACAGGGAGUCAUUAAGCAGGCCAUUGGGAGACACACUUCUGAACACCACCACUGGAAAAUCACACAUGCUGAAAUGGGAGAGUUCCCUGACCCCCUUGCAGGAUGUGUGACAGGGGUGUGGCUCAUCUGUUCGGCUGGAGUGCAUACUCAAACCCCUUAUGAGACAAGGAGUAUGCAGACAGAAGGUGCAGGAACUGGGAAGCAAAAUAUAAACUAGUUAAUUUGAUCUCCAAGAGUUAAGCGGUUUUGAUAUUACUGACAGUAAUAUCAGCAGUGUUGUUGGAACCCCAUGAUCUCAUGAAUGAUGGAUAGCAACUGCUUACUGGACAUUGAAGCUUUAUGGCCAGCUGCCAAAAAAAUAAAUGCACCUUAAUUUUUAAAUUGAAUUAUAAAGCCAAAAAUAUCCUAUUGCUCUAUUCCUCUUAUUUUGGUGUUUACAUGUGACUUUAUAAUUUCCUUCACUUGAAAGAUUUUAACUUUAAAGGAAACUUUACUCUGAACGUUUAGGACAAUUCAUAGAUAAUCAAAUUGAUUAUCAUGUUUUCAAUGUUAAAUAUUACUUAUCAUAUGUCUUUUUACAACCUUCAGAAUAAGAAAGCCAGCUAUGAAAUACCAAGUCUUGACUAGUAGUGCCACCUAGCAUCACAAAGAAAAAGUUGUUCAACUACUUUGCAAAGCAUUGGAAAUUUAUCAAAUCAUCUAAUAUACUAUCUCCUUGAUCCUUAAUCCAGAGGAAAAUAAGCAGACCUGAUCAAUUAGAAGAAAUGUACACAAAACCUGUGUAAUUUUAGAGAUAGUAUACUACAUAUUAUGAAUGUUUGUGUUUUAGGAAGAUGUAGUUAUGAGAUGUAGCAGUAAGAUAUAAUUUCUGGUUUGCUGACUGAUAUGCUACCGGUUUUUCCUACAAUUUAAGAAAACAUAUUGGGAUUCAAAUGAAUAAAAAUAAUGUUUGUGUACUGAAA